AACACUUAGAAAUAGGUGCUAAUACCGCAUAAGCGCACAGCUUCGCAUGAAGCGGUGUGAAAAACUCUGGUGGUAUACGAUGGUUCCGCGUCUGAUUAGCUAGUUGGUGGGGUAAUGGCCUACCAAGGCAACGAUCAGUAGCCGGCCUGAGAGGGUGAACGGCCACAUUGGGACUGAGACACGGCCCAAACUCCUACGGGAGGCAGCAG
RNAcentral lists this ribosomal RNA (209 nucleotides) under uncultured bacterium. RNAcentral describes it as "partial 16S ribosomal RNA". It matches the Rfam family "Bacterial small subunit ribosomal RNA", at positions 145 to 354 of the family's 1533-position model. The record is from RNAcentral.